Molecule: long non-coding RNA, 94 nt
Filed under: Phascolarctos cinereus (koala)
Lineage: Eukaryota; Metazoa; Chordata; Mammalia; Diprotodontia; Phascolarctidae
Description: lncRNA (ENSPCIG00000012129.2)
Source: RNAcentral
CAUCCCGAUGAAUCUGGCAAGGAAGCAUGGCAAAUCCCCAGCCCAGCUAUGCGUAGCUGGAGCAUUCAGAUGAGGAUCUGUACCUGAUUUUCAG